CCCUUAGAUGUUCUGGGCCGCACGCGCGCUACACUGACGAAUGCAACGAGCUUAUAACCUUGGCCGAAAGGUCUGGGUAAUCUCCAAAUUUCGUCGUGAUGGGGAUAGAUUCUUGCAAUUUUUGAUCUUCAACGAGGAAUUCCUAGUAAACGCGAGUCAUCAACUCGCAUUGAUUACGUCCCUGCCCUUUGUACACACCGCCCGUCGCACCUACCGAUUGAAUGGUCCGGUGAACCCUCCGGAUCGGCCCGCGCCAACGCAAGUUGAGCAAAGGCCGAGAAGUUGGGUAAACCUUACCAUUUAGAGGAAGGUGAAGUCGUAACA
Molecule: ribosomal RNA, 324 nt
Filed under: uncultured eukaryote
Lineage: Eukaryota
Description: partial 18S ribosomal RNA
Rfam family: Eukaryotic small subunit ribosomal RNA
Source: RNAcentral